ACGGGCGAGUGAAGCGGCAAAAGCUCAAAUUUGAAAUCUGGCCCUUUCAGGGUCCGAGUUGUAAUUUGCAGAGGAUGCUUCGGGUGCGGCCCCGGCCUAAGUUCCUUGGAACAGGACGUCAUAGAGGGUGAGAAUCCCGUCUUUGGUCGUCGGCCCGCGCCCGUGUGAAGCUCCUUCGAAGAGUCGAGUUGUUUGGGAAUGCAGCUCUAAGCGGGUGGUAAAUUUCAUCUAAAGCUAAAUAUUGGCCGGAGACCGAUAGCGCACAAGUAGAGUGAUCGAAAGGUUAAAAGCACCUUGAAAAGGGAGUUAAACAGCACGUGAAAUUGUUGAAAGGGAAGCGCUUGCGGCCAGACUCGGGUGCGGGGUUCAGCGGACGCGUGUCGUCCGUGCACUCCCCGUUUCCCGGGCCAGCAUCAGUUUCGACGGCCGGUCAAAGGCCUCUGGAAUGUGUCGUCUCUCGGGACGUCUUAUAGCCAGAGGUGCAAUGCGGCCUGUUGGGACUGAGGAACGCGCUUCGGCUCGGAUGCUGGCAUAAUGGCCGUAAGCGGCCCGUCUUGAAACACGGACCAAGGAGUCUAACAUCCACGCGAGUGUUCGGGUGUCAAACCCGUGCGCGCAGUGAAAGCGAACGGAGGUGGGAGCCUUAGGGCGCACCAUCGACCGAUCCUGAAGUCUUCGGAUGGAUUUGAGUAGGAGCGUGGCCGUUGGGACCCGAAAGAUGGUGAACUAUGCCUGAAUAGGGUGAAGCCAGAGGAAACUCUGGUGGAGGCUCGCAGCGGUUUCUGACGUGCAAAUCGAUUCGUCAAAUUU
Molecule: ribosomal RNA, 810 nt
Filed under: Ctenomyces serratus
Lineage: Eukaryota; Fungi; Ascomycota; Eurotiomycetes; Onygenales; Arthrodermataceae
Description: eukaryotic LSU rRNA
Rfam family: Eukaryotic large subunit ribosomal RNA
Source: RNAcentral